GGGGGCGUAGCUCAGUUGGGUAGAGCGUUCGCUUUGCAUGUGAAAGGUCCCGGGGUUCAAGCCCCGGCCGCCUCCA
Molecule: non-coding RNA, 76 nt
Organism: Schistocerca serialis cubense
Lineage: Eukaryota; Metazoa; Arthropoda; Insecta; Orthoptera; Acrididae
Source: the annotation of a RefSeq genome assembly